Molecule: ribosomal RNA, 427 nt
Filed under: uncultured bacterium
Lineage: Bacteria
Description: bacterial SSU rRNA
Rfam family: Bacterial small subunit ribosomal RNA
Source: RNAcentral
GCGGGGAAUCUUGCGCAAUGGGCGAAAGCCUGACGCAGCGACGCCGCGUUGGGGAAGAAGUCUUUCGGGAUGUAAACCCAUGUUGACAGGGAGAAGAAGGAGAUAGUACCUGUUGAGGAAGCCACGGCUAACUACGUGCCAGCAGCCGCGGUAAUACGUAGGUGGCGAGCGUUGUCCGGAAUUACUGGGUGUAAAGGGUGCGUAGGCGGCUAUUUAAGUUAGUUGUGAAACCCUCAGGCUCAACUUGAGGCAUGCAACUAAAACUGUGUAGCUUGAGUGCAGGAGAGGAUGACGGAAUUCCCGGAGUAGCGGUGAAAUGCGUAGAUAUCGGGAGGAACACCAGUGGCGAAGGCGGUCAUCUGGACUGUAACUGACGCUGAGGCACGAAAGCGUGGGGAGCAAACAGGAUUAGAAACCCUAGUAGUCC